RNAcentral lists this ribosomal RNA (497 nucleotides) under uncultured bacterium. Its description in RNAcentral is "partial 16S ribosomal RNA". It matches the Rfam family "Bacterial small subunit ribosomal RNA", at positions 28 to 507 of the family's 1533-position model. The record is from RNAcentral.
GAUGAACGCUGGCGGCGUGCCUAAUACAUGCAAGUCGAGCGAACGGACGAGAAGCUUGCUUUUCUGAUGUUAGCGGCGGACGGGUGAGUAACACGUGGAUAACCUACCUAUAAGACUGGGAUAACUUCGGGAAACCGGAGCUAAUACCGGAUAAUAUUUUGAACCGCAUGGUUCAAAAGUGAAAGACGGUCUUGCUGUCACUUAUAGAUGGAUCCGCGCUGCAUUAGCUAGUUGGUAAGGUAACGGCUUACCAAGGCAACGAUGCAUAGCCGACCUGAGAGGGUGAUCGGCCACACUGGAACUGAGACACGGUCCAGACUCCUACGGGAGGCAGCAGUAUGGAAUCUUCCGCAAUGGGCGAAAGCCUGACGGAGCAACGCCGCGUGAGUGAUGAAGGUCUUCGGAUCGUAAAACUCUGUUAUUAGGGAAGAACAUAUGUGUAAGUAACUGUGCACAUCUUGACGGUACCUAAUCAGAAAGCCACGGCUAACUACGUG